AUGAUUUCUCUCACUCGGUUUCUCACCGAGCAACAGCAACACUCAGCCAUGGAGGAUUUUCUGGAAAGCUUCGGACAAAUAUGAUGAAUAACAAGGAUGAACUCAACUCUACAUCAAAUCCUAAUUUGAUUUUACCAGAAUUAUGAACAGUGGCGAAAAUCUGGAGGAAAACUUACAGCAACAAAUAAUUAACAGUGAUAUAAGAGUGGAAGUAGAAAGGACUUACCUGCGACAAGGAGGUGUUUGCCGGAUUAUUCAUCGAGGUUGAAGUUGAUGUGGGGCUGCAACUGAAAGUUGGAGGCUUUUGAUGAAGGUGAUGCCACAACACCUCUUUGGACUUAUGGGAGCGCCUUGAAGAUGGAACUUCAAGUUGUUGGAAGCUUGAAGAUGAAGAUCUUCAAGAAAGGUAUGAAGAACUACCUUUUCCUUCUUCCUUACUUUGUAACUAGAAUACUCACCUCCAAUAGAGAAUCUCUUGGCUUGAGAAUUUCUUCUUGCCAAGAGGUCUAUUGAACAAUAUAUGAGCAAUAGAGAGAAGAGAGAAAGCAAGAAUUUAAGUUGCUUUGGUGUGACAAAUACUAUGGAGAGCCCUUCUAUUUAUAGGCAAAGAAAAGGAUAUGUUAGGCAUUAUGUAACUUGGUAGUCAAGUUUGUGAUUCUUGUAAGAAAGGAAUAUCCAUUGUGACAUAAGCAAAAAGAUUCCACAUGACAUAAGCCAAAAGAUUCCUUUAUGACAUAAGCCAUGUGAGAAAAUUUUCAUGUCAUUUUAUGAUAUCUCUAAGUUGUAGAAAUUUAUGACAUAAAAAUCUCUCUUUGACUUUCUUUGACUUUCUUUGACUUUUGACUUGAUUUGAACUUUUGCUAAAUUCACCCCUUUUAUGUCUCUUUUUUCUUUCAUGUCAUAUGAGGACUUUUGAAGAAAACAUGAAGAAGGAGACUUGGACAUCA
Long non-coding RNA from Vicia villosa (hairy vetch), 947 nucleotides. RefSeq lists it as uncharacterized. The record is from RefSeq and is a predicted model, not a curated record. NCBI's taxonomy places the organism in Eukaryota, Viridiplantae, Streptophyta, Magnoliopsida, Fabales, Fabaceae. The transcript is spliced from 4 exons.